UCUUCUUCUUCCUCUUCAAGAACAAUGCAUCCUAAGAGUAGUUGCGAGAAAACCUAGAAGCCAAUUGUGCAGCAGUGAGUGAAUUGCACCAAAGGCAACCCCUGCGCGCGUCGCCUUCUCUUCACGCAUAUACGACGCUCCAAUAUCUCCUUCUCCUUUUUUCUGCAUCAUACAACUUUUCACCAGCCAUAGCCGCCUGCAAAAUUGUCCUUACAGCAUUAUCUACUUAUCCUUGUGGCAGUGAGAUGAUGCCAUGUUACAUCUAAAGGACCAUGAGGAUAAAUCUGAGUCGUCCGUUGCACCUGACGUCCGGAUUUUCUGGGAUUUGGAUGAAAUUUCGUACAAACCACAUCCUUUUCCAUUCCUUGGGGAGAUAUUUCAAACUUGAAUGAAGGGGAAUCAUGAUUUUACCCCCAAACAUCUCCAAAUUUCACCCGCCCUUUAUAUUCAUAAACCCUAGAUUUUCUUAUCUAUAGAAACAUCUCUUCCUCUCUAGAUCACGGCAGAUUUUUUUGGGGAGUUCAAAAAAGAAGAAAGUGGGUUUUGGAAAGUAUUACAGAUAAAGGAAUGCAAAACCAUAAAUUUUACUUCAGAAAACAUGCCUUAAAUACUCUUUCCUUCUUCAUUAUUCGUGAUUGGUUGGGAUCUGCAGGAGUUAAUUAGAAUUUUUGAAGUUCGGUGGAGUUGUCUUGUGGUCGUUGUCUCAGUUCGCUGACCCUCGAAAGAGAGAUUCGUAAAGGCUUGAUUCCCCUUAUUAGAGUCAGCCCGUCAAAUCAAAGAAUGAGUUUCAAAAAAAGGUGUACAGGUUCCCGAAUGGAAAGAAACCUAACUGGAAGAAGUUGAAGAUUUUGGGCCAACAAGCCAAAAUUUAUUUUCUAAAUUUUGUAUUUAGUUAUGUUGGGCCUAAGUACUUUUUGAUAUUAUCAUUAUUGUAUUGUUAGAAUUUUAGGACAUGUAGAAACGGGCCAAAGUCCCAAAAUGAAAUUGGUCCAAAUACGGUCCAGGCGGACAGAAACUAGAUUUGAACCCAA
Long non-coding RNA from Solanum lycopersicum (tomato), 1031 nucleotides. RefSeq lists it as uncharacterized. The record is from RefSeq and is a predicted model, not a curated record. NCBI's taxonomy places the organism in Eukaryota, Viridiplantae, Streptophyta, Magnoliopsida, Solanales, Solanaceae.